RNAcentral lists this ribosomal RNA (467 nucleotides) under uncultured bacterium. RNAcentral describes it as "partial 16S ribosomal RNA". It matches the Rfam family "Bacterial small subunit ribosomal RNA", at positions 28 to 507 of the family's 1533-position model. The record is from RNAcentral.
GAUGAACGCUGACAGAAUGCUUAACACAUGCAAGUCAACUUGAAUUUGGGUUUUUAACUUAGGUUUGGGUGGCGGACGGGUGAGUAACGCGUAAAGAACUUGCCUCACAGCUAGGGACAACAUUUGGAAACGAAUGCUAAUACCUAAUAUUAUGAUAAUAGGGCAUCCUAUAAUUAUGAAAGCUAUAAGCGCUGUGAGAGAGCUUUGCGUCCCAUUAGCUAGUUGGAGAGGUAACGGCUCACCAAGGCGAUGAUGGGUAGCCGGCCUGAGAGGGUGAUCGGCCACAAGGGGACUGAGACACGGCCCUUACUCCUACGGGAGGCAACAGUGGGGAAUAUUGGACAAUGGACCAAGAGUCUGAUCCAGCAAUUCUGUGUGCACGAUGAAGUUUUUCGGAAUGUAAAGUGCUUUCAGUUGGGAAGAAAGAAAUGACGGUACCAACAGAAGAAGUGACGGCUAAAUACGUG